CCUGGAUUAUCCUACAAAUAGUCAUAUGUUUGUCUUAAAUAUUAAGCCAUGCACGUCUAAUUAUGGACUAAUCCAUACUGUGAAACUAAAAAUGGAUAAUUAAACUACUUUUAGUAUCUUUGAUGUUACCUUAUUACUCAAAUAACUAUAUUAAUUAUAGAUCUAAUACAUUCACCAAGUCUCAACUCUUUAGAAGGGAUACAUUUAAUAGAUAAAAAUUUAGUAUGGGCUUGCUUGCUUCUUUGGUGAAUCAUGAUAACUCAAAAAAUUGCAUCGCCCUUAUGUUGGUGAUGCUUCAUUCAAAUUUGUACCCUAUAAAAUUUCAAUGGUAGGAUAUAGACCUUCAAUGGUGGUCAUGGGUUAUGGAGAAUUAGGGUUUGAUUAUGGAGACAGAGCUUGAGAAAUGACUACCACAUUCAAGGAAGGAAACAAGGAUGGAAAUUCUAAUCCUGACAUAGGGAGGUAAUGGAAAUACAAAAAAAUGUUGGGAUAAUCGAUUCUAGUAAUUGGAAUGUGUACAAUCUAAAAACCUUAAUGAGGAUCCAUUGGAGGGAAAUUUUAGUGCUAACGACCAUGGUAAUUCCUACUCUAAUAGCAUAUAUUUAAGUUUUUGUAGUAAAAAAUAUUGUAGUUAGAUAUUGUUUGUAAAGGUCAGUCCAUCGAUUCAGUGUGCACCUACCCUUCCAUCCCUUUUUUGGCAGUGUGCUCUUGGCCUUAAUUGGCUAGGUUGCAGUUCCAAAGAUGUUACUUUGAAAAAAAUAGAAUGAUCAAAUCAAGAUUAUUCUUUAAAUACAUUAGCAUCAAAUAAAUUGAUAGGAUUUUGAUCCUAGUGUGUUGUCCAUUAAGAUUGGAGUAAUGAUUAAUAGGGACUAUUGGGGGAAUUUGUAUUUCAUUUUUAUAGGUGAAAUUAUUGGAUUUAUGAAAGACAAACCAUUGUUAAAACAUUUUCCAAGGAUGUUUUCAUUAAUCAAGAAUGAAAAUUAAGGGAUUGAAUACGAUUAAAUACCAUCCUAGUCUCAAUGAUAAAUGAUGCCGACUAGGGAUUGCUAGAUGUUUCUCUAAGGAAUCCACCAACACAUUUUGAGAAAUUAUAAUGUCUAUGUCUCAUGAGGAGUGUGGUCACAAGGAUAAAACUUAAAGGAGUUGACAAAAAGGGAACCACAAAGAGUGUAGUUUUUAGUUUAAUUUGACUUGAAACACAAGAAACAUUACUACGUCUAGACAUAGUAAGGAUUGAGAGAUUGAGAGAUCUUUCUUCAUUCUAUGGGUGGUGGUGCAUGGACAAAAUAGGAGUAUGUCUUCCAUUUGUAUAUGGGCCCCUCUAAUUAGUAUUGACUCAUAAACAAGUGGAGUAGAGUCCCAUCCAUUAUUCUCUUGCUGAAUGUCUCGGUUAGUGUCUCGAUCAAUGUAUCAAUUAUUUUUGUUUCAAUGGCUACAAUAUAUCAUAGUUGUCAAUAUAUAGGCAAGUGCCAUUUCAUGUGAAUAGUGGUGGAAACCAAGUUGGUUGCUAC
Molecule: ribosomal RNA, 1511 nt
Filed under: Picea abies (Norway spruce)
Lineage: Eukaryota; Viridiplantae; Streptophyta; Pinopsida; Pinales; Pinaceae
Description: SSU rRNA
Rfam family: Eukaryotic small subunit ribosomal RNA
Source: RNAcentral